UUAAAUUGAAGAGUUUGAUCAUGGCUCAGAUUGAACGCUGGCGGCAGGCCUAACACAUGCAAGUCGAACGGUAACAGGAAGCAGCUUGCUGCUUCGCUGACGAGUGGCGGACGGGUGAGUAAUGUCUGGGAAACUGCCUGAUGGAGGGGGAUAACUACUGGAAACGGUAGCUAAUACCGCAUAACGUCGCAAGACCAAAGAGGGGGACCUUCGGGCCACUUGCCAUCG
This 228-nucleotide ribosomal RNA is filed under the name Enterobacter cloacae. RNAcentral's name for it is "partial 16S ribosomal RNA". It matches the Rfam family "Bacterial small subunit ribosomal RNA", at positions 1 to 223 of the family's 1533-position model. Lineage: Bacteria; Pseudomonadati; Pseudomonadota; Gammaproteobacteria; Enterobacterales; Enterobacteriaceae. The record is from RNAcentral.